Molecule: transfer RNA, 68 nt
Filed under: Palomena viridissima
Lineage: Eukaryota; Metazoa; Arthropoda; Insecta; Hemiptera; Pentatomidae
Description: tRNA-Glu
Rfam family: tRNA
About the family: Transfer RNA (tRNA) molecules are approximately 80 nucleotides in length. Their secondary structure includes four short double-helical elements and three loops (D, anti-codon, and T loops). Further hydrogen bonds mediate the characteristic L-shaped molecular structure. tRNAs have two regions of fundamental functional importance: the anti-codon, which is responsible for specific mRNA codon recognition, and the 3' end, to which the tRNAs corresponding amino acid is attached (by aminoacyl-tRNA synthetases). tRNAs cope with the degeneracy of the genetic code in two manners: having more than one tRNA (with a specific anti-codon) for a particular amino acid; and 'wobble' base-pairing, i.e. permitting non-standard base-pairing at the 3rd anti-codon position.
Source: RNAcentral
AUUUAUAUAGUUUAAAUUUAAAACCCCCCAUUUUCAAUGAGGAAAUAAGAAACUAUUCUUUAUAAAUA